Long non-coding RNA from Triticum aestivum (bread wheat), 3199 nucleotides. RefSeq lists it as uncharacterized. The record is from RefSeq and is a predicted model, not a curated record. The transcript has 8 exons. Lineage: Eukaryota; Viridiplantae; Streptophyta; Magnoliopsida; Poales; Poaceae.
CUUCAUGACCUUGGGCGGGACUGGCGCGGACAUGGAGAACAGCGACAAGGCCAGGUUUGCAGAUGUGUUGCGAACUUGCGAUAGUCCUCGACCGGGUGCUCGCCGGCAAUGACCGUGGCCUAGCAGCAGGAUAGCAUAAGCUCUCCCUUGUUCUUUUGUGCUUGAAUCAGAUUUUGGUGGUUCUCAAUUUUACACAUUUAUUGAUCUUGGUCUUCUUUUGUAUGCAGGGUACACUUAUGUUUCAUGUCUAUUCUGCAGAUUUUUAGAACACUGAGUGCAUAUCUUGCCUUGCAAUGCUGCUGAUUCCACAACUGAGCUGGAUUCAAACUGGACUUGCGACAAGAGCAACCCCAAGCAAGAUAAACUCGAUUGGAAGAUGUCUUCUAAACUCUGAAGGCAAGCACUUGGCCGACACUUUUGUUCGUGUAGAAGGCAUGUCGUUUGAUUCAUGCCAAGAAGCGUACAAACAGUAUAAGCUAUUCGCUUGGGAGAAUGAUUUCAGAAUUCAUCAUGGAAAGCCGAGAUGAGGGCAUGCACGUUACCAAUUGAUGCACAAAAUUGUGUGCUGGUGCUAGGUUAAGAGGGACAAAGGUAAUUCUUCUUCGUGCAGAACAGAAUGAAGGCGAGGAUGCAUCUCCUCCAUGCAAAGCAGGGGAUAGGGUAGCGUACACGAACAACAAAAUUGUAGAAGGCGAGGAGGACAAUCUGAGUGACCAACAUUAUGUGGAGUAUUGAGAUGCAGGUUGAAUUCUUGUUGUCUAGAUCCACCUUCACCGAGAUCACGCGCUCCUCUGUGACCUCCCACCAGCAGCGCCUUGAGGCCACCCACACAAGCGACCAAGCAAUUCCAUGCUGUCACCCUGCUACUUCGCCAACGACAUCGAGGAGGUCGUGGGUGAGAGCUACUGUCUUCCUUGGAGAACAUGCUGGUGCCCCAUGCGUACGAAGAAGAGCUAAGACACUCGCAUGGUGCUCAAGGAAAUACACCAGAUUGAGCGAGAGUGUUACACAAUUUAUCAACAGGAGCAAAGACUCUAAUCUGAUGAUGUAGAACAGCUUUAAUGUGACAGAGGAUCAUGGUGGUCGAUGGAUUCUGCACCCGGUAGUAGACUAAGAAAGGAACAUUAUUGAUGGAACACAAUGAUAUUCAGAGCACCCCUGCACUAUGUGAGAUUUAGAAGUUGGUACUGUCGGCGGAUGCAUCCAUGUGCUAAUCUGCUGGCACCGAGUAGACGGAGCCAAACGAGUUGGGGCCUCUAGCCGGCUGGUAGUGGACAACAACACCGGGUUUGUUAAUUACUCAACAAGUCACAGAUCAAUCUUUUUUUAUUGGUUUGGAGUGGAUAAUCAGGCCUGCUGCACAAUCAUAGAUUUACCUUUUGAUUUAUGUGGGUGGACAAAAACACCCUUUCUGAAGUUUUCUAGGGAUUGUAAUGAAGCACAACUUGGUCAGUGGUACCAAUCCCUUCGAGCUCCCUCAACCCUUCGCCAACACUUCUUCAGUUUCUCACCACAAGCGUACUAUUGUUCAGGAUAGUGUGUGUGACAUAUGUGGGAACGGGGAGGAAGAUGAAUAUCAUGCUGUUAUAUCAUGCACAAAAAGUAAGGCAUUGAGAUUUGCCAUGAGGAAAGAGUGGAGUCUUCCAGAAGAAAAGGAGUUCUGGUACACUGGAACAGACUGGCUACAAAUCCUACUGGACAAGUAUGAUUCAGAGAUAAGAAAGAAAAUUCUGCUGUUGUUAUGGAGAGCCUGGUUUCUACGAUAUAACUGUAUCUACAGUGAUGGCAAAGAAACCAUUUCGAGAUCGGUGAUGUUCCUUCUGCAUUGUGAGGAGGAAUCAGGAAUCUGUCGAUAUCUGCUGUUGGACAGUGAAACAAGAGUUGUUGGUCCCUGUCUGCAUCUAGACACACCACGACUAGAAAUUAGCCGAACGCCGAGCCAAAUGCCUAGUGGAAAGAGCCGCCUGAAGGUGUUGUAAAACUGAACACUGACGCUGCCUUUUUGUCAGGCACAGGCCAAGGGCUGCCGAUUCUCUCUCUCUCUCUCCCUCUCCCUCUCUCCCUCUUGCUAAUAGAAUUAUGAACAACCGGUAAGACUAAUAUUAUAGACCUUCUCUCCUCAAUCCUACCAUGUAUUAUUUGACUUUUGCGCUAACACAGGAAAAAUGUGUUGUAAACUUGUGAGUUGUGCCUUACUUCCUCCGUUCUUAAAUACAAAUCUUUUUAAAGAUUCUAAUGCAGACUACAUACGAAACAAAAUGAGUGAAUCUACAUUUUCUAAAAUAUGUCUAUAUACAUAAGUAUGUAGUUCGUUUAGGGAGUCGAUUGAAUCCAUAGUCAAUUACGGUUUGGUUCGGUGUCGUGUGCGUCAGAGAGUUCGAAUGGAGGUAGGACGCGAUGGGAGGUGCGCUCCAGUGGUCUGUGACACAAAGGCUAGAGAUAGGCCGGCAGGUGGAGCGGGUGCGCUAAUGCGAGCGCCCGCUAGCUUGUUGGGUUGGGCCGAGGUUGGCUUUGCUGCGCUGCUGCUGCUACUGCACUGCAAGCGGAAAAAAAUACUAAACGGGUUGCACGAGCUGGGCUUAGAUUAGGUCUCCGCUUUUAUUAAUUAAUACAGGAAAUGGAUAAGGCUUAAAUAAAAUACAGUUUAAUUUUGAAACACACCGGAAAAGUUCUCAAAAGUAUAUAUACUAAUACAGAAGAUAGUAAACAUUUUGGAGCCCAAUUAUGAAAUAAAAUGCGCAUAAGAAUUUUCUAAAUUUACUUUAGCAUUAAUAAAUAUUCAUAAAAUAUUUUUAAACUUCAAAACGAAUAACCAAACAAUAUUUAAAACACUUACCGACUCUUGUAUAUUGAAGGAGUCUAUUACCUUCUCUCACUUAGUUUAUUUUUUAUUGGAUUUUUUUCAAAUUUGAAAAUCCAAAAUAUACAUUCUAAAAUACUUGUCAUCGGGCAGGAAGUCAAGCAUGGCGUCGAUCAUGGAGUUGGAGGAGGGGCGGGCGAAGAGGUGUGGCCGGUCGUGGUCGAUGUAGUUGAUGAAGAGGCCGUGCACCUUGUUCGUGGUGAGUAACCUCCGGCCUAUAUCGGGAGCCAGCCACCACGCUUUGCCGAGGACGCACGCAGGCAGGCUGCGGAGGACGUGCGCGGCUUUCGUUGUCAACAUGGCCACGAGUGAAUGCGUGGAGGCGAUCGAUGGCUGUGG